This 290-nucleotide signal recognition particle RNA is filed under the name Dictyocaulus viviparus (bovine lungworm). RNAcentral's name for it is "Metazoan signal recognition particle RNA". It matches the Rfam family "Metazoan signal recognition particle RNA". Rfam says of the family: The signal recognition particle (SRP) is a universally conserved ribonucleoprotein. It is involved in the co-translational targeting of proteins to membranes. Lineage: Eukaryota; Metazoa; Nematoda; Chromadorea; Rhabditida; Metastrongylidae. The record is from Rfam by way of RNAcentral.
GCCGUGAAGAAUUUCCUGUGAGCCAGUGUUAAAGCGGUAGAUCGGCGUGGAUGAAGUGAGGGGAGGAGUUCCGCGGUGGCCGUGGAGUGCGGCGACCGGGCGUCCGUGUCAAGCGUUGUGUCACCAAGGUUGUGCUGACGAGAAAUAGCGUGACAGGGGCGGUCAACCAAGGGUGUACGGCUCAAGCCCCAGAGGGAACAGGCGGAAGCCUCGUACGAAACAGUGGUCGAAUAGCCCCGUGAGCAGCUGCUCUGUUGUGGCCUCUACGAUACCUUCAAACUUCCAAUCGU